CUAGCGACUUCAGAGUUUGAUCCUGCUCAGGACAACGCUGGCGGCGUGCCUAACACAUGCAAGUCGAACGGGGUCAGCCCUUCGGGACUGACUUAGUGGCGAACGGGUGAGUAACGCGUGAGGAACCUGCCUCUCAGUGGGGACAACAGUUGGAAACGACUGCUAAUACCGCAUAAAGUAUCCGAAGGGCAUCCUUUGGAUACCAAAGAUUUAUUGCUGAGAGAUGGCCUCGCGUCUGAUUAGAUAGUUGGUGAGGUAACGGCUCACCAAGUCGACGAUCAGUAGCCGGUCUGAGAGGAUGAACGGCCACAUUGGGACUGAGAUACGGCCCAG
Molecule: ribosomal RNA, 333 nt
Filed under: uncultured bacterium
Lineage: Bacteria
Description: bacterial SSU rRNA
Rfam family: Bacterial small subunit ribosomal RNA
Source: RNAcentral